RNAcentral lists this long non-coding RNA (1448 nucleotides) under Sus scrofa (pig). RNAcentral's name for it is "lncRNA (ENSSSCG00025060546.1)". The record is from RNAcentral. Lineage: Eukaryota; Metazoa; Chordata; Mammalia; Artiodactyla; Suidae.
GCGUGAAGGUGGAGGGUGAGAAGGCUAGCACUCCUUGCGCUGGCCUCCGUCACGUUUCUAUCGGCUGUGGGGAAUUGGGAAGAAGAGCUUUGAGCCACUCGCUCUGCCAGGUUCUCCCAACAGGACAAUAAACUCAUCUGGAAGGCAGAGGGCCUGCCCAUUCAUAAACCUGUUGAUGUGGUCCCCAGAGGUGAGUUUCUCUGAACAGAGAGCAAGAAGGGUAGAGAGUUGAUCCAGAAGAAAAGUGAAAGCUAGCCAACACAACCAGAAAGCCAAAAAAAAAAAGAGAGAGAGAGGGAAAUAAUAGGCAUAAUUCUAUUAUGCAUCCAGAAGAGAAUUUUUAAAAGAGUUGCCUUUGUGAAAUUAAUUGAAAACAGCAAGACGCAGGGUUGGGAACUGCUUUUAUUACAUUCUUUUAUAAUAUAAACUUUGUAGAACUCUUUGGCUCUUUUAACUAGGUACAACUUGCACAAAAAUAAUUUUUAAGUGCUCUUUGGAUUUGCAGUGAGAAAAUCGUGGGUAACCUUUUGCCAGGCAAUUUCAGCUCAGCAAUGGGAGCCGAGGUCAGAUUACAGUGCGUUGAGAAUCUGAGAUGGGUGAGAGAGGAAUUCUAAAGGCAGCCAAAUCUUGUUAAUCAAAUAUUUUGUUAAUGUCUUUAAUAGCUAGUCUACUAGCCUAGCUAGGUCAGAGGUGUGCUGCCUGUGAUUUGUGUUGUGCUCUCUGCACACUAUACCUGGGGCCCACACGUGUAAUCCAUGUGUCCAGUAUAUUCAUGUGCAGUUUUAAGAUUCAGAACUUUUUCGUGGGCUUUUAAAUAUUAAAAUGGUUUCCGGCUAUUAUUGCUUAACUUGUCCCCAAAAUACAAUUUUGCCUUUGACACCCAUUCCUCUUACUGUAUUUUCUUCAUAUACUUUCUCAACUCAAAGUUUGGACCAUCUUUGACCUCCUCUUUCACUUCUAACAUGUCCUUGCCAAAUGCUAUACAUUCUACCCAUGAAAUGUUUUUUGUUCCUCUUCUCUGCCCUGGCUGGCCCUCACGGUUUAAGCCAAUAGGAUUUGUUGAUAUCACUAUGGGACUAACUACCUCUCUAUGCCUCUAAACUCCCAUCUCCAGUGGAGUUAUUAGCUAAUAACUCUUGUUAACUAAUGGACUUCAUGAUCUUAUUAGAAACUGCUUUUCCAGGAGUUCCUAUUGUGGCUCAGUGGUAAUGAAACUGACUCGUAUCCAUGAGGACUCAGGUUCAAUCCCUGGCCUCACUCAGUGGGUUGAGGAUCCAGCGCAGCCGUGAGCUAUGGUGUAGGUCACAAGUGCGGCUCGGAUCUGGUGUGGCUGUGGCUGUGGUGUCAGCUGGCAGCUGCAGCUCCAAUUCAACCCCUAGGCUGGGAAUCUUCGUAUGCUGCAGGUGUGCCCCUAAAAAGCAAAAAAAAAAAAAAAAAAAAAAAAAAAA